Molecule: ribosomal RNA, 428 nt
Filed under: uncultured bacterium
Lineage: Bacteria
Description: bacterial SSU rRNA
Rfam family: Bacterial small subunit ribosomal RNA
Source: RNAcentral
UGGGGAAUCUUCCGCAAUGGCCGAAAGUCUGACGGAGCAACGCCGCGUGAGUGAUGAAGGUCCUCGGAUUGUAAAGCUCUGUUAAUCGGGACGAAAGAGCCUAGUGUGAAUAAUGCUAGGAAGUGACGGUACCGGAAUAGAAAGCCACGGCUAACUACGUGCCAGCAGCCGCGGUAAUGCGUAGGUGGCAAGCGUUGUCCGGAAUUAUUGGGCGUAAAGCGCGCGCAGGCGGAUCUGCCAGUCUGUCUUAAAAGUUCGGGGCUUAACCCCGUGAUGGGAUGGAAACUACAGAUCUAGAGUAUCGGAGAGGAAAGUGGAAUUCCUAGUGUAGCGGUGAAAUGCGUAGAUAUUAGGAAGAACACCAGUGGCGAAGGCGACUUUCUGGACGAAAACUGACGCUGAGGCGCGAAAGCCAGGGGAGCGAACGG